RNAcentral lists this ribosomal RNA (254 nucleotides) under uncultured bacterium. RNAcentral describes it as "partial 16S ribosomal RNA". It matches the Rfam family "Bacterial small subunit ribosomal RNA", at positions 524 to 776 of the family's 1533-position model. The record is from RNAcentral.
UACGAAGGGGGCUAGCGUUGUUCGGAAUUACUGGGCGUAAAGCGUGCGCAGGCGGCUAUCCAAGUCAGUGGUGAAAGCCCGGAAGCUCAACUCCGGAACUGCCAUUGAAACUGUUUAGCUCGAGUACGAGAGAGGUGAGUGGAAUUCCCAGUGUAGAGGUGAAAUUCGUAGAUAUUGGGAAGAACACCGGUGGCGAAGGCGGCUCACUGGCUCGUAACUGACGCUCAUGCACGACAGCGUGGGGAUCAAACAGG